This 497-nucleotide ribosomal RNA is filed under the name uncultured bacterium. RNAcentral's name for it is "partial 16S ribosomal RNA". It matches the Rfam family "Bacterial small subunit ribosomal RNA", at positions 28 to 507 of the family's 1533-position model. The record is from RNAcentral.
GAUGAACGCUGGCGGCGUGCUUAAUGCAUGCAAGUCGAGCGAACGGACGAGAAGCUUGCUUCUCUGAUGUUAGCGGCGGACGGGUGAGUAACACGUGGAUAACCUACCUAUAAGACUGGGAUAACUUCGGGAAACCGGAGCUAAUACCGGAUAAUAUUUUGAACCGCAUGGUUCAAAAGUGAAAGACGGUCUUGCUGUCACUUAUAGAUGGAUCCGCGCUGCAUUAGCUAGUUGGUAAGGUAACGGCUUACCAAGGCAACGAUGCAUAGCCGACCUGAGAGGGUGAUCGGCCACACUGGAACUGAGACACGGUCCAGACUCCUACGGGAGGCAGCAGUAGGGAAUCUUCCGCAAUGGGCGAAAGCCUGACGGAGCAACGCCGCGUGAGUGAUGAAGGUCUUCGGAUCGUAAAACUCUGUUAUUAGGGAAGAACAUAUGUGUAAGUAACUGUGCACAUCUUGACGGUACCUAAUCAGAAAGCCACGGCUAACUACGUG